CCUGUGGACGUAAAGACACUGGCAUCUCUGUUACCUUCUCUUCCCUUUGCAAGGGUUUUAACUUUGGAAUCUUCCAGAGAAAGUUUGGCCAAUGCCAGAUCUCCCAGAGUUGGGAUUUUUGUUAUUUUUUUUCUUUGUUUUAAAUCAAAUUUGUGUCUGGUUCCUAUUUACACUACUGAUUGUUCUAAUCCCAGAGAUGAAUAUGUUUCUCCUCUGUAUGAGAAGUAAGCACCCUUUAUGGUGAAACCUGUCUCUUGUGGUAGAAACGGAAGCCGCUGAAAACAAACAUCAGCACAGGAGAGCCCCAGGCAGAGGUCUCCCUUGAGAUUCUUCCGAAGCAAUCGUUGGGGUCUGGGUCAGUUUCACAGGGUUAUGCCAUUUUAUUCAAGUCCGUUGCUCCGUUGUGCAGUCUCCACCAUAUAAGCAAAAAUGACAGCCAGUACAUAAGGGGUUAGCUUGACAAAGUAGACUUCCUUGUGUUCAUUUUUAAGGUUUUUUUUUUCUUAACUAUAUCUGUCUACAGGCAGAUACAGAUAGGUAUAUGGAAAUGUGCUUGCCUGUAAAAUUUGCAUUUAUAAAUGUGUUGCGAUGGAUCACUUCGGCCUGUACACAUCCAAUUAGCGUGACCACUUCCAUCUUAAAAACAAAUCUAAACAAAAUUUAUUAUUAUUAUAUAUAUAUAAAGGACUGUGGGUUGUAUACAAACUAUUGCAAACACUUGUGCAAAUCUGUCUUGAUAUAAAGGAAAAGCAAACGCUGUGUAACAUUACUACUUGAAUGCCUUUGUGACUGAAUUUUUUUUUUCAUUUUAAAUAUAAACUUUUUUGUGGAAAGUAUGCUCAAUGUUUUUUUCCCCCUCCCCCCCAUUCCCUUGUAAAUACAUUUUGUUCUAUGUGACUUGGUUUGGAAAUAGUUAACUGGUACUGUAAUUUGCAUUAAAUAAAAAGUAGGUUAGCCUGGAAAUGAAAUUAAACUUCACCAGUGUGUGGUCUUUAUUUCAGUGCCCAUCCCCCUCUCUUCACCCUUCCCACUCUGCCAUCGCCACAUGCAGUCACACUGCCGUCUCCACUCCUCUGACAGAGGAAACAUGAAUCCUUGAGAGAAAAAUCAGGACUCUCCUUCUCUGAGAUGACCUUGCUCUGAUGUGUAGACAGGAGGUGCAGCUUCCAGCUUGGAAACCCCCUGGACUUAAUGUAGAGAAAGCUUUGCAGACACUGCUUUGGGGAAAAACAAACAAAAAACCCUGAAAGGGACAGUUGUAAAACAUGUAUAAGCUGCUGUCUUUGGUUACUGUGUCCAUGGUUUGGUGUGGCUGUAUUUAUUUUAACUUCCAUCUUAUUAGUAAUGGUCGUUGGGAGUCUUUGUAAACCAUGAACACCAUGGACAUUGGGUCAGUCCCACCCAUGUAACCAACACGUGUGUGAGUCUGCUCAUUUCCAAUACUGGAUAAUGUAUGUUAACAUGUUAUGUCUCAUAGUGCAAACAGAAACACCAUUUUUUAGGGCUGGCUCAUUGUCAGGCCUAAAGGUUAGAUAUAAGGUCAUGUGACUGCUGCUUCAAUAAAGACAAAUUUAUAUUGG
This 1580-nucleotide long non-coding RNA is filed under the name Mus musculus (house mouse). RNAcentral describes it as "long non-coding RNA chr16:38244499-38246079". Lineage: Eukaryota; Metazoa; Chordata; Mammalia; Rodentia; Muridae. The record is from RNAcentral.